This 253-nucleotide ribosomal RNA is filed under the name uncultured archaeon. RNAcentral describes it as "partial 16S ribosomal RNA". It matches the Rfam family "Archaeal small subunit ribosomal RNA", at positions 474 to 727 of the family's 1478-position model. The record is from RNAcentral.
AACCAGCACCUCAAGUGGUCAGGAUGAUUAUUGGGCCUAAAGCAUCCGUAGCCGGCUCUGUAAGUUUUCGGUUAAAUCUGUACGCUCAACGUACAGGCUGCCGGGAAUACUGCAGAGCUAGGGAGUGGGAGAGGUAGACGGUACUCGGUAGGAAGGGGUAAAAUCCUUUGAUCUAUUGAUGACCACCUGUGGCGAAGGCGGUCUACCAGAACACGUCCGACGGUGAGGGAUGAAGCCUAGGGGCACGAACCGG